Canis lupus familiaris (dog) is the source of this 2752-nucleotide long non-coding RNA. RefSeq lists it as uncharacterized. The transcript is spliced from 6 exons. Lineage: Eukaryota; Metazoa; Chordata; Mammalia; Carnivora; Canidae. The record is from RefSeq and is a predicted model, not a curated record.
CCGGCCCUGAUGGCUAGAGGAACCAUCUGGAAGUCUCCAGAGACCAGCAUUUCUGAAGAUGACAAACAGAAAAAAGUGACAGUCCGAGGAGUCAGCAGUGCCCCUGGGAAGGUGUACAAGGAACAGUCCGGGAGAGGCGCUGCCCGGAGCAAGAGCCCCGGGCGGGGGGGCCAAGGCCAUGUGACCUCAUAGCCAGCCCCCGAGGACAGCAGAAGGAGCCUUAGCCAAGACUCAGUUCCACGUCUGCCUGGAAUCCCAGAGCUAAUCAUGGGCCGGAAGGAGACCAGAGCCCCACUUUGCAGGUGCCGGGGAGAAGAGAGCGGGCAGGGAGCCAGAGGGAAGGCCCAGAGGGAGCCCUAUCCUCCCUGCCACCUGCUGGCCCUGACCCUACAGGGAGGGAGCUGACCCCAAUGUCCGAGGGCCCCUUCCCAGGUAAAAGUAAACAUCACAGUCUAUCAACUAUACUUCAAUUUUAAGAAGAGAGAAAACUCUAGAAAUUAAAAUGAAUAAAAAAUAUUCCUCAAUGAACUAGGAGACACGCUGACAAAUCUGGCUAUGGCGCCUAUUGAAUGUGACUAUUCGAGAUCAAUUGUGAUGAAAUCACUGACAAAUCUGCAGAAGUCUUAAGGACAAAAAAAAAGCACCAGCGUUGAUGCUACGGUUCUCCGGUUACUUGGUCACACUUGCAGCUGCUUCUCUUCCUGGCAGCACAAAGGGAAGAUGACUUGCUGAAUCCUCGGGAUGCAGGAAUUCCAGGAGAAAGUACUCAACUAUUACAGACCUCCACCGGUUACUGAGCAGGGCCUUUGGAGAUACAUUUCUAAUAACCUAGAUAGAAUGAAGAGCAGAGGCGUCCUUGGGGGUGAUCUCAGGGACACCAGAAGAUCCCUGCUUCUAAAACACCUCCACCACCUUCCUGGCGGCAGAGCAUAAAAACUAUAAGACAGAGUUUAAAGACAAAGGUAAAAAGAAGAGGACUGCUAGAGCAAGGGGCCAGCUGAUGUGCUGUGAGGCGGGACUAAAAGCACCUACGGAGAACUUGACCUUGGAAAGAACACGGAAGGAGAGACUGGCAUCAAGCACACAGUGCAGCAGCCAGGCUCCCCCCAGGCUCUGCUGCUCUGGAUGUGUAAGCCAUGCUUUUCUUCAGGGGUACUUCGGUAAACAUAAAUCAAACCGGAAGAAGUCAGGAGCAGAGAAGAACUGUGGAAGAAAACUGCAGUUAGAGCAAAUAGCCCGUGCAAAUGCCCUGAGGCAGGAGGUGUGUGCACCAGAGAGAAGACCAGCGCCACUGGAGUGUGGAAGAGUGGUGCAAGAUGAUCCUGGAGGGCUAGGGGCCAUGGAGUCCAUGUGAUUCUUGGUCUUUUGGGGAGGGAAGGGUAGUGUGGUCAAAUUCAUAAUGUCCUGAUUCUCUUUUCUUAUCAUCUGUCCAUCUCUGGCAUAAUCUACUUUAGCGCCUGCAUGUAUUGAUACAGCCACACCUUUUAUUUUUCCUAUUAAUUGCUGGAGCCCCAUAUGUCAGAUUGCUUACGUGUGAAGCCUCCACCUCUAGUCAUCCAAGAACCCUAAAUUCUUACUCAGUCCAAAGGGAACAGAGUUUUCCUUCCAAAUACCCCCAGAGAGGAGGAGAAAGGCUAGUGAGCUCAGUUGUGCAGUCACAGCCUCUGGUCACUGUUCAGCACUGUCCCACUCAGACAGAUCCUCGUGGACUACAGAGGGGAAGGGAGGCUCUGGGGUUAAAAUCAGACUCACUUUGCUCACACCCAGCCACUGUCUCCAGAGCUGAGUCAGGGUGGCUGGGCUGCAGGAGCACCCACCUGUCCAGCCCAACCCUUCACUAGCAGUACAGAAGCCCCUUGAGAACCUGUUGUCCGUCCUGCUGGGAGACCUCACUAGGAUGAUCCUGAUCCUUCAAGAAGCUCCGCAGCAUUGACCCUCCCGGGGGCUGCUGGGCUUCCCUGCAGCCUUGUCACCUUGCUCCCGGGCACUAGCUCUGCAGACCAAGGGGCAACGGUGGAGGCCUUAUUUUCAGGGCACCACAGCUCCCGUUCCUCCAGGCCAACAGACACUGCCCGGCCCUACAUUCGCGUGACCAAUAACCUUUCCCAAGGCCCCUUGCUCUCUCCAUUUCCACACAUACAAGAUGGGAGUCUGUCUUUAUUUUUUUUUUCCCUCUUUACUUAGUAGCUCAUUACUAUAAUAUUAUUAAUAUAAAAAAUAAUGACAUCAGAAAAUAUUAUUAGAAAAAAAUCCCAUGUUUCCUCAACCAAUUAAAGACAUUUACAUCAGCAUGUUUAUCACAAAACUCACAGUUUCGAUGGGUGAACGUGCUCCCUAGAAGUGUGCCUGCUGCAUUCCAUAAAGCCUUAUAGGAUGUGACAGUCCACUGAGCAAGUGGUGGCUCUCGGCCCUGACAUUGGGAGUCCCAUUGUGAAAAGAGUUUUUAUUGUGGAAACAUUUACUCUGAAUAACAUUACUGGUAUACAUCUCCUGAAACUUAAUUGUUUUAGAAAAUAAAAAUUUUAAUGUCUUUAUUUUUUACUAAUAGUAAUAAAUGAAGAAUGCUCUAAAAGCCCUAAAUACCUAUAUAUUCUUAUAUCCGGAAUAUAUAAAGAACUUUCAAAACUCAAUAAUAAACAACCCAGUUAAAAAGCAGGCAAAACAGGUGCCUGGCUGGCUCAGUUGGUAGAGUGUACAACUUGAUCUCAGGAUUAUGAGUUCAAGCCUCACACUGGGCACAGAGCUUACUAAA